GGGUGAGUAACGCAUAGGAAUUUACCCGAUAGUGGGGGAUAACCUGGGGGAACCCAGGCUAAUACCGCAUACGUCCUACGGGAGAAAGGGGGCUUCGGCUCCCGCUAUCGGAUGAGCCUAUGCCGGAUUAGCUGGUUGGUGAGGUAAUGGCUCACCAAGGCGACGAUCCGUAGCUGGUCUGAGAGGAUGAUCAGCCACAUCGGGACUGAGACACGGCCCGAACUCCUACGGGAGGCAGCAGUGGGGAAUAUUGGACAAUGGGGGCAACCCUGAUCCAGCCAUGCCGCGUGUGUGAAGAAGGCCCUCGGGUUGUAAAGCACUUUCAGUGAGGAAGAACGCCUGGCGGUUAAUACCCGCCAGGAAAGACAUCACUCACAGAAGAAGCACCGGCUAACUCCGUGCCAGCAGCCGCGGUAAUACGGAGGGUGCAAGCGUUAAUCGGAAUUACUGGGCGUAAAGCGCGCGUAGGUGGCUUGAUAAGCCGGUUGUGAAAGCCCCGGGCUCAACCUGGGAACGGCAUCCGGAACUGUCAGGCUAGAGUGCAGGAGAGGAAGGUAGAAUUCCCGGUGUAGCGGUGAAAUGCGUAGAGAUCGGGAGGAAUACCAGUGGCGAAGGCGGCCUUCUGGACUGACACUGACACUGAGGUGCGAAAGCGUGGGUAGCAAACAGGAUUAGAUACCCUGGUAGUCCACGCCGUAAACGAUGUCGACCAGCCGUUGGGUGCCUAGCGCACUUUGUGGCGAAGUUAACGCGAUAAGUCGACCGCCUGGGGAGUCGGCCGCAAGGUUAAAAC
This 793-nucleotide ribosomal RNA is filed under the name uncultured bacterium. RNAcentral's name for it is "bacterial SSU rRNA". It matches the Rfam family "Bacterial small subunit ribosomal RNA", at positions 104 to 900 of the family's 1533-position model. The record is from RNAcentral.